Propithecus coquereli (Coquerel's sifaka) is the source of this 379-nucleotide long non-coding RNA. RefSeq lists it as uncharacterized. The transcript has 2 exons. The record is from RefSeq and is a predicted model, not a curated record. Lineage: Eukaryota; Metazoa; Chordata; Mammalia; Primates; Indriidae.
AGAUAACUGCCAAUCUGCAAGCAGUUAUUAAUGAUGUUUGUAGGCACAGACCACUGAGUUUAGGUCCCUUUGUGGUACGUGCUUUCCUUCGCAGUUCAACAAGUGAAGGUUUGUUACUAAAGAUUGAUCCAUUGUUGCCUAAAGAAGUAAAAACUGAAGAAAGUAGCAAAGAAGCUGCCUAAAUGUGUUGAAUUGUGAAAUUAUUUUUUAGUGGAUUAAGAAGCAACAGAGAAAAUUAUAAAACUGCAUAAUUUCUAUGCUUGAUGUCUUAUUGUCUUGUUAUUUCUUGACCAUCAUACUUGAAAGUGAAUUUCAACACUGAAAAAUCUUACACAAUUUCACGAAUAAGAAAAUAAAAUUUCCCUGUGUCUCAACCUGC